GGAUGCGAUCAUACCAGCACUAAAGCACCGGAUCCCAUCAGAACUCCGAAGUUAAGCGUGCUUGGGUGAGAGUAGUACUAGGAUGGGUGACCUCCUGGGAAGUCCUCGUGGUUUAUUCC
Molecule: ribosomal RNA, 119 nt
Filed under: Triticum aestivum (bread wheat)
Lineage: Eukaryota; Viridiplantae; Streptophyta; Magnoliopsida; Poales; Poaceae
Also listed under: 1 other name
Source: RNAcentral